AGUCUUUUUCAAAGAAAGAAACAUUGCAGAAGUUGGUAGUAAGCCAUUUGACUUCACUGAGGAAAUUUAUCAACUACUCCACCACUAUCAUGAGAAAUUACGCUUUAACCGUCCUUUGUCUUCUGAUGAUGGCAUUUGCAUUUUUCAUUGCUGGGCCAACGUCAAGCAAGUGUUCAGACGUGAAGGGGUAUGCAUUGAUAGCAGAAUGACUUUGUGUGCCCAUGUGAUACAACAUGGAAUCUGUGGCGCAGAAUAUAUGAUAUGCUGCAAACCGUGAUGAAGAGGCCAUUGCUGUUUCGGAGGAGUGCUCUUAAAAGCUGGCAGAUCGAAUAUUUUCAUGCGGAAAUGAUCUUAUCAUAGAUGAGUGAUAUCAACUGAACGAAAAUAGAUGAAAAAACCAACAGGGUCAUAAUAAUAAUAAUAAUAAUAAUAAUAAUAAUAAUAAUAAUAAUAAUAAUAAUAAUAAUAAAAAUAAUAAUAACAAUAAUAAUAAUAACAAUAUCGUUUUUGUCUUGCUUUGUACGAUUUUUAAUGUGAAAUCCUGUAUUGGAAUAGAUGCUGCUGUGUCUUGGGAAUUUUAUUUUACCAAUAAAAUUACACAUGUUGGCUCUA
Molecule: long non-coding RNA, 612 nt
Organism: Octopus sinensis (East Asian common octopus)
Lineage: Eukaryota; Metazoa; Mollusca; Cephalopoda; Octopoda; Octopodidae
Exons: 3
Source: RefSeq, a predicted model, not a curated record